CCUACGGGAGGCAGCAGUGGGGAAUAUUGCGCAAUGGGCGAAAGCCUGACGCAGUGACGCCGCGUGUGGGAUGACGGCCUUCGGGUUGUAAACCACUGUCGCGAGGGACGAAGAUCUGACGGUACCUCGAAAGGAAGCACCGGCUAACUCUGUGCCAGCAGCCGCGGUAAUACAGAGGGUGCGAGCGUUGUCCGGAAUCACUGGGCGUAAAGGGCGCGUAGGUGGCCUGGUAAGUAGGGGGUGAAAUCUCGAGGCUCAACUUCGAGGCUGCCUCCUAAACUGUCAGGCUUGAGCAGAGUAGAGGCAGGUGGAAUUCCCGGUGUAGCGGUGGAAUGCGUAGAGAUCGGGAAGAACAUCGGUGGCGAAGGCGGCCUGCUGGGCUCUUGCUGACACUGAGGCGCGACAGCGUGGGGAGCAAACAGGAUUAGAUACCCUGGUAGUCCACGCCGUAAACGAUGGGUACUAGGCGCCGGGGGGAGCGACCCCUUCGGUGCCGUCGCUAACGCAAUAAGUACCCCGCCUGGGGAGUACGGCCGCAAGGCUGAAACUCAAAGGAAUUGACAG
Molecule: ribosomal RNA, 564 nt
Filed under: uncultured bacterium
Lineage: Bacteria
Description: bacterial SSU rRNA
Rfam family: Bacterial small subunit ribosomal RNA
Source: RNAcentral